AAGACUAUGCUUUCAGGAAUUAUUUCUGUAGUUUGCACUAGAGAGGUUUCUCUGACCAUGUAGUGCACCUGAAAGCAUGAGGGGAGCCAGAGCAUCUUUCCUGAAAGUGAAGCUGGUUCUAGAUGUUGCUUUUGCAACUGCCUUUUACUAUUGAUGGUCGUUCUUCUCUUCCUUUGGAAGAGUUAGAGGGAGAGAAUGUAUUCUGAGUAGU
Molecule: small nucleolar RNA, 211 nt
Organism: Sorex fumeus (smoky shrew)
Lineage: Eukaryota; Metazoa; Chordata; Mammalia; Eulipotyphla; Soricidae
Product: small nucleolar RNA U3
Exons: 1
Source: RefSeq, a predicted model, not a curated record